UACGUAGGGGGCAAGCGUUAUCCGGAUUUACUGGGUGUAAAGGGAGCGUAGGUGGCAUGGCAAGCCAGAAGUGAAAACCCGGGGCUUAACCCCGCGGAUUGCUUUUGGAACUGUCAGGCUGGAGUGCGGGAGAGGUAGGCGGAAUUCCUAGUGUAGCGGUGAAAUGCGUAGAUAUUAGGAGGAACACCAGAGGCGAAGGCGACUCACUGGACUGUAACUGACGCUGAGGCUCGAAAGCGUGGGGAGCAAACAGG
RNAcentral lists this ribosomal RNA (254 nucleotides) under uncultured Eubacteriales bacterium. RNAcentral describes it as "uncultured Clostridiales bacterium partial 16S ribosomal RNA". It matches the Rfam family "Bacterial small subunit ribosomal RNA", at positions 524 to 776 of the family's 1533-position model. Lineage: Bacteria; Bacillati; Bacillota; Clostridia; Eubacteriales. The record is from RNAcentral.